This 85-nucleotide transfer RNA is filed under the name Felis catus (domestic cat). It matches the Rfam family "tRNA". Rfam says of the family: Transfer RNA (tRNA) molecules are approximately 80 nucleotides in length. Their secondary structure includes four short double-helical elements and three loops (D, anti-codon, and T loops). RNAcentral also lists the same sequence under 3 other names. Lineage: Eukaryota; Metazoa; Chordata; Mammalia; Carnivora; Felidae. The record is from Rfam by way of RNAcentral.
GCCUGGGUGGUUCAGUCGGUUGAGCUUCUGACUUUGGCCCAGGUCAUGGUCUCAUGGUUUGUGGGUUCGAGUCCCAUGUCAGGCU